RNAcentral lists this ribosomal RNA (379 nucleotides) under uncultured cyanobacterium. Its description in RNAcentral is "bacterial SSU rRNA". It matches the Rfam family "Bacterial small subunit ribosomal RNA", at positions 376 to 770 of the family's 1533-position model. The record is from RNAcentral. Lineage: Bacteria; Bacillati; Cyanobacteriota.
CGAAAGCCUGACGGAGCAACGCCGCGUGUGGGAAGAAGGCUCUUGGGCUGUCAACCACUUUUCUCAGGGAAGAAUAACUGACGGUACCUGAGGAAUCAGCAUCGGCUAACUCCGUGCCAGCAGCCGCGGUAAUACGGAGGAUGCAAGCGUUAUCCGGAAUUAUUGGGCGUAAAGCGUCCGCAGGCGGCUUAUCAAGUCUGCUGUUAAAGGCUGGGGCUCAACUCCGGUUCGGCAGUGGAAACUGGGAAGCUAGGGUAUGGUAGGGGUAGAGGGAAUUCCCAGUGUAGCGGUGAAAUGCGUAGAUAUUGGGAAGAACACCAGUGGCGAAGGCGCUCUACUGGGCCAUAACUGACGCUGAGGGACGAAAGCUAGGGGAGCG